ACUAAAUUAAAGUCAAACCGCAAAAUGCUCGUUAAAUCAGUCACGGUUUACUAGAACUAAUAUAUCUUUUUUUUUGAUAGAUGGAUAACUGUGGUAAUUCUAGAGCUAAUACAUGCAAAAAAGUUUUGACCAGUGAUGGAAAAGACGCUUUUAUUAGAUCAAAACCAAUCGAUUCAACUUGUUGUUUCGUUUGACUUUUGGCGAUUCUGAAUAACAACGCAGAUCACACAGUCAUUGUACUGGUGACGUAUCUUUCAAAUGCCUGACUUAUCACACUUUCGAUGGUAGAUUCUAUGUCUACCAUGGUUGUAACGGGUGACGGGGAAUCAGGGUUCGAUUCCGGAGAGGGAGCCUGAGAAACAGCUACCACAUCCAAGGAAGGCAGCAGGCACGCAAAUUACCCACUUCCGGCACGGAGAGGUAGUGACAAAAAAUAACGAUACGGGACUCAUCCGAGGCCCCGUAAUCGGAAUGAGUACACUUUAAAUCCUUUAACAAGUAUCAAUUGGAGGGCAAGUCUGGUGCCAGCAGCCGCGGUAAUUCCAGCUCCAAUAGCGUAUAUUAAAGUUGUUGCAGUUAAAAAGCUCGUAGUUGGUUCUGUGUGCCACACUGUUGGUUUACCGCAUGUCGGUGUAACUGAUAUGUCGUGGGACGUCCUGCCGGUGGUAAUUGCAGACCUCAUGGUAUUGUAAUUGCCUUUAAUUCUCAUCGCGGUGCUCUUUAUUGAGUGUCGAGGUGAGCCGGCACGUUUACCUUGAACAAAUUAGAGUGCUCAAGGCAGGCUAAAUUCUGCUUGAAUAUUUGUGCAUGGAAUAAUGGAACAGGACCUUGGUUCUAUUUUGUUGGUUUUCUGAAUCCAAGGUAAUCAUCAAUAUGGACGGUCCGGGGGCAUUCGUAUUGCGGCGUUAGAGGUGAAAUUCUUGGAUCGUCGCAAGACGAACUAGAGCGAAAGCAUUUGCCAAGUACGUCCUAAUUGAUCAAGAACGAAAGUUAGAGGUUCGAAGGCGAUCAGAUACCGCCCUAGUUCUAACCAUAAACGAUGUCAGCCAGCGAUCCGUAGAGUUCUUUGAAUGACUCGACGGGCAGCUUCCGGGAAACCAAAGCUUUAGGGUUCCGGGGGAAGUAUGGUUGCAAAGCUGAAACUUAAAGGAAUUGACGGAAGGGCACCACCAGGAGUGGAGCCUGCGGCUUAAUUUGACUCAACACGGGAAACCUCACCAGGCCCAGACAUUGGAAGGAUUGACAGAUUGAUAGCUCUUUCUUGAUUCAGUGGGUAGUG
RNAcentral lists this ribosomal RNA (1279 nucleotides) under Ceratocombus (Ceratocombus) sp. CW-2013b. Its description in RNAcentral is "SSU rRNA". It matches the Rfam family "Eukaryotic small subunit ribosomal RNA", at positions 69 to 1279 of the family's 1831-position model. Lineage: Eukaryota; Metazoa; Arthropoda; Insecta; Hemiptera; Ceratocombidae. The record is from RNAcentral.